GGAAGUAAAAGUCGUAAACAAGGUUUCCGUAGGUGAACCUGCGGAAGGAUCAUUACAGAAAUAGGAGAAGGUUGCUUAACUGCAAUCCUUUUCUUUCUACACAUGUGUUUUUCUUUUUUUUGAAAACUUUGCUUUGGUGGGCCCACGGCCUGCCAGAGAUUAAACUCAACCAAAUUUUUAUUUAAUUGUCAACCUGAUUAACUAAUAGUCAAAACUUUCAACAACGGAUCUCUUGGUUCUCGCAUCGAUGAAGAACGCUGCGAAAUGCAAUAAGUAAUAUGAAUUGCAGAUAUUCGUGAAUCAUCGAAUCUUUGAACGCACAUUGCGCCCUUUGGUAUUCCAAAGGGCAUGCCUGUUUGAGCGUCAUUUCUCCCUCAAACCUUCGGGUUUGGUGUUGAGCGAUACGCUGGGUUUGCUUGAAAGAAAGGCGGAGUAUAAACUAAUGGAUAGGUUUUUUUUCCACUCAUUGGUACAAACUCCAAACAUUCUUCCAAAUUCGACCUCAAAUCAGGUAGGACUACCCGCUGAACUUAAGCAUAUCAAUAAGCGGAGGAAAAGAAACCAACAGGGAUUGCCCCAGUAACG
This 585-nucleotide ribosomal RNA is filed under the name uncultured Ascomycota. RNAcentral's name for it is "partial 18S ribosomal RNA". The stretch from base 213 to 366 matches the Rfam family "5.8S ribosomal RNA". The record is from RNAcentral. Lineage: Eukaryota; Fungi; Ascomycota.